Molecule: long non-coding RNA, 171 nt
Organism: Neltuma alba
Lineage: Eukaryota; Viridiplantae; Streptophyta; Magnoliopsida; Fabales; Fabaceae
Exons: 3
Source: RefSeq, a predicted model, not a curated record
AGCUUCUUCAAGAUGCUGGGCUAUGGAUAUCCCAAAGGAUUAAGGAUCAUUUUGCCAAGCACACCACAAUGAGCAUAAACCUCAAAUAUAUAGGUCCAACCUCCAUGAUCCGAGCAAUUCCGAACAAUGCUUCUGAUAACGUGUACUUCACACUUCUUGCUCAAAGUGUAG